RNAcentral lists this ribosomal RNA (494 nucleotides) under uncultured bacterium. RNAcentral describes it as "partial 16S ribosomal RNA". It matches the Rfam family "Bacterial small subunit ribosomal RNA", at positions 28 to 507 of the family's 1533-position model. The record is from RNAcentral.
GAUGAACGCUGGCGGCGUGCCUAAUACAUGCAAGUAGAACGCUGAAGGAGGAGCUUGCUCUUCUGGAUGAGUUGCGAACGGGUGAGUAACGCGUAGGUACCUGCCUUGUAGCGGGGGAUAACUAUUGGAAACGAUAGCUAAUACCGCAUGACAACAGUUAUUGCAUGAUAACUGUUUAAAAGGGGCAACUGCUCCACUACCAGAUGGACCUGCGUUGUAUUAGCUAGUUGGUGAGGUAACGGCUCACCAAGGCGACGAUACAUAGCCGACCUGAGAGGGUGAUCGGCCACACUGGGACUGAGACACGGCCCAGACUCCUACGGGAGGCAGCAGUAGGGAAUCUUCGGCAAUGGACGGAAGUCUGACCGAGCAACGCCGCGUGAGUGAAGAAGGUUUUCGGAUCGUAAAGCUCUGUUGUAAGAGAAGAACGAGUGUGAGAGUGGAAAGUUCACACUGUGACGGUAUCUUACCAGAAAGGGACGGCUAACUACGUG